AAUAGCCUAACGGCUGAACCAGCAACUUGGGGGAAUGCCUUCUUAAUUUAAUAAAAUGAUAUAUUAGGUUUUUUUAAUUUGAUAUCUUUAUUUAUUAUAUUUAAGAAUUCAAGAAAUUUGAAUGUAAUUCUAGAUAAAAUAUUGAUAAUGACAAAGUUUUAUCUAUAUGUCUUGACCAAAUCUUGUGCCAGCAGUCGCGGCAACACAAGGAAGACAAGUGUUAUUCAUCUUAAAUCGGUUUAAGGGGUACCUAGACGGUAAAUUAGCCUUAAAUGUGGAACUUUUUACUAGAGUUAUAUAUGCGUGAGGAUUAUAUGUAAGUAUUACCAGAGUAGAGAUGGAAUUUUUUGAUACUGUUAAGACUGGUAUAGGCAAAAGCAAACCUUUA
This 388-nucleotide ribosomal RNA is filed under the name Viridothelium virens. RNAcentral's name for it is "mitochondrial SSU rRNA". The record is from RNAcentral. Lineage: Eukaryota; Fungi; Ascomycota; Dothideomycetes; Trypetheliales; Trypetheliaceae.